RNAcentral lists this non-coding RNA (45 nucleotides) under Schistosoma margrebowiei. The record is from RNAcentral. Lineage: Eukaryota; Metazoa; Platyhelminthes; Trematoda; Strigeidida; Schistosomatidae.
AUCCAUCUGACAAGUCCCACAUAGAGCUAAACGCCUGUCCUGGAU